Molecule: unclassified non-coding RNA, 263 nt
Filed under: Hevea brasiliensis (rubber tree)
Lineage: Eukaryota; Viridiplantae; Streptophyta; Magnoliopsida; Malpighiales; Euphorbiaceae
Source: RNAcentral
AGAAAAUGCAAGGAAACUAACUAUCAUUCAUUUAUUGAUUUUUUUAUUAAUUGGUUGGCCAUUUUUUAGACCUGUUGUCUGCAGUUCUUGGUCUGUAAGUUAGUGUAAGAUGAGGUAUAGCGGGUCUUCUAAUGUGUUCAUGUGUGCACCUUUAUGUGUGUUGGUUUGCAUGUGUAUAAUUUAUAUUUGCAUUGCUCAUUGAUUUUCUUUCAGAUAUUUUCUUCUUUUUUGCUAUUUGACUUAUUGUGUUAAAUAUUUUGAAG